CAAGCUUCGGGUUAGGAGAACUUGAUCCCGCAGGUACAAACUUGGAGUAGACACCGACAGGCCGGGCUUCCUCCAAUCUACACCUCCACUCUAUCUCUCUCAAUCUAGUAGAAAAUAGAAGAUCUAUUUCUACUCACAUUGGUUGCUAAGCCUAAAAAGAAAUUUUAUUUAGAGAAGAGGUUUUCCUUUGAGCGCUCCCCUCAACUCUAUGAUAAACUUCUCUCCUCCAGGGGCUAGGGGGUCUGGUUUUAUAGUCCCUUCAAGUGAACGUGAGCCAUUGGAUCAAACCGACAUUGAUUGGAUGGUUAUCCUUGAUCCUUUAGGUUGGUGGAACAUCAUGUGCGAAAAGAGUCCCGAUUGGCAUCCAGAGGGGGGCGAGCGCCCAGGUCAACUGGGCGGGCGCCUAGUGCCUGGCCCCGUUCGGCCUCUACUUCCUUCUCGUGGCUUCUGGAGUCUUCUAGAUGGUAGAAAAUUGCGCGGUGCGUUGAUAUCUCUAUGUAAUCCCGACAUGUGGGCCUUUCUUCCUUAUUUCCUGAUAACCCCCUGCACAAACAGAUAAACAACAAAACUCUUGGAAUUCUGUUAGAUCAAACCCUAAUUCUAGGUGUUGGUUGCAUAUUGGUCCUUUCUUUUGUUUAUUUGAUAAUUAAAAUUGAUACUUAAGGACCGUCAACAAAUACCCCCAUACUUAGGCUUUUACUCGUCCUCGAGAAAAGGAUGGUUAAGAACAAUACUUGGGGUAAAACAUUCUUUAUAUUUGCAGGGUAUUAAAAUUCACCGUGUACUGUAGUCAGGGAAGUAUAUGAUUAAGAGUAAAGAUCCUUUCUUCUCAAUCCAGUUACUUGGAGUUUUGUAUAAUUUUGAAAGAAAGCUAGCAUACCUUUUUAUCCUCAUAGGUUCUCUCAGAUCACUCAUUAUCUUUUAUAUAUCUCACUGAGGUUGUUUUAAUUUGCAAAAAUUCUUAAGCAUACUUACUCUGCAUUUAUUGCCUGAUCAAAACGGGAUCCAAGGUGGGGAAUGUCAUACUCUUAGAUCAAAGACUUUGGAAAUUAAAAUCUUUGUCAACUCUUGCUGGCAUAUUGCUUAUUAGAGGGACCAUGGGCUAUCAUUUUCUUCUUUCUUUCUCUCUUCUUUUUUUUAUUUUUAAGUGGAUGCCGAGGUAUCCCUAAUUCUACUGCCGGACACUUGUCCAUUUUUCCUGCGAGGUUGUCGAGCACUUGCUCCUUUUUAUUUCCUCGAAAUAUCUUUAUUUUUGCAUAGCCCAUGCCUCUAAUGCAAUAAUACUUCGGAAGAGUGAAUCUUUCUGAAUAAAUGUCUUGAUCUUAGGAGCAUGAUAAAUCUCUCAACAAGGGUCUAACUCAUUUUAAACAACCUCAAUACAGAGUAGAUAGCUUUUAUAAUCAUAAUUAAUAUUUUCAGUUUUUAUCAGGCAUAUAAAACACUGAGGAUGGUAGUUAGAAUUUUAAAGAUUUUGAAAUAAAUUCUCCAAGCAACAAUGAUAUCAAGAAUAAGAAACUCUACCAUCUCACAUUUCACACUGUCUUAAGUAACACAGUGUUUUAAAAUGAUUUUAUAAUAAUUGCAAGUUUCAGGAAAUAUAACAGAUUGAGAUUAGUCAUGAUUAGAAAUAUUUUAAUCUUUUUAAUUUGUCAUGUCGGAAACAGUAUUCUGCAUAAUCCAAGAUAUGUGUAUGUAUAAAGUAAAGUGUGCAGAGUGUGUACCUGAAUCGUGGAGUGGUGUAGUCAGAGUGUGUUUGGCAUGUCGAGGGAUCUCCCCCAUACUUGUUUUCUGCUUUCUUGCACAAAAAAUAAAGUAGAGACAUACGAGACAUAAUAAUAAUAAUAAUAAUAAUAAUAAUAAUAAUAAUAAUAAUAAUAAUAAUAAUAAUAAUAAUAAUAAUAAUAAUAAUAAUAAUAAUAAUAAUAAUAAUAAUAAUAAUAAUAAUAAUAAUAAUAAUAAUAAUAAUAAUAAUCUUUAUUAUUCUUGAGGCAUUUAUUACAAAUAACUAGUAGCAAACUGACGAUAGUAGUAAACUGAUAAUAAUAGUAAACCUAAACCGAAUUUAAAGAUAGAUGACUAAGAUGCAUUGCCUCGCGGUGCUCUAAUUCCUUGAUCUUCUUGUUGGCACUAGCAAGAUCCUGCCUAAGACCUAGUAUGAUGGUGUUGUGGUUAGAGAGCUGCC
This 2182-nucleotide long non-coding RNA is filed under the name Sorghum bicolor (sorghum). RNAcentral's name for it is "long non-coding RNA (SBIC_LNC005026)". Lineage: Eukaryota; Viridiplantae; Streptophyta; Magnoliopsida; Poales; Poaceae. The record is from RNAcentral.